CUCAAGUAUGAGCAGUUACAAUUUUUGAAAAAGUUCGUAGAUGAAUCUCUGCAAGACUACUACACAAAUUUGCCUUGUGCGUCAAACAAUGCUCAUCUAAACGAUGCAGAUAUGCAGGAGUAAUCCUCGGAGUAACCACAUACAGAAUUAUUCCAUAUUGACUUGGAUCACUUUUCCAUUGAACCAAGCCAAUACGAGUUUUAUUUUAUCUAACAAAAUUGCUACAAAUUAUUUUUCUUUGUUUUGUCUGUUAAUCAGUUAAUGUCUAUACAUAUAACUAUUGAUAAAAACUUCUUACGA
Sitophilus oryzae (rice weevil) is the source of this 300-nucleotide long non-coding RNA. RefSeq lists it as uncharacterized. The record is from RefSeq and is a predicted model, not a curated record. NCBI's taxonomy places the organism in Eukaryota, Metazoa, Arthropoda, Insecta, Coleoptera, Curculionidae. The transcript is spliced from 2 exons.